This 824-nucleotide long non-coding RNA is filed under the name Populus trichocarpa (black cottonwood). Its description in RNAcentral is "long non-coding RNA (PTRI_LNC003905)". The record is from RNAcentral. Lineage: Eukaryota; Viridiplantae; Streptophyta; Magnoliopsida; Malpighiales; Salicaceae.
UGUUCCUGCUUCUUCAGUUUUGAGUCGGUAUGCCUUGCUUAUCUUUCAAGGCUGUUUGAUUCGAUGUCUUAGGCGCUCCACUAUUACUUUGUUUUGAUUAAGUUUGGAUUUUUGACAAUGUAAUGAGUAUUAUGGAUUAUUGUUUUUGUUUUAAUUACUGAUGAGGAGUUUUAAACUAUCUUCUGGUUUCAUCAGUAACUCCAUGCUAACGGAGAGUAGUUAGCCUGUGUGCACAUAGUAUUCUGUAUGUAUACCUAGCUGGUGAGAGAGGCAUCAGCCUGUGGCGACUGAUCAUCCCACAGUGGUCACCUUCGGGUGUCAUCUGGUCUGGUCACCUUCGGGUGUCAUCUGGUCACCUUCGGGUGUCAUCUGAUCUCUGACAUAUAGUCCACUACGUUAUGAUGAUACGUUUAGUAUGUAUAUGAUAUGUAUAUGUAUAUGUACAUCAAGAUAAAUGAUCUUGCGAACUAUUAAUAUCAAGAAUAUCUAAAAUGUAUAUUAAUUAUUAUUCCCUCACUGAGUUGGUUGAACUCACCCCUCAUUCUUAAUAUUAUUUCAGGUUCUUAGUUUCUGAUAGCAGGUGAACUUUGUUGAGUGUUCCUGCUUCUUCAGUUUUGGGUCAGUAUGCCUUGCUUAUCUUUCAAGGCUGUUUGAUUCGAUGUCUUAGGCGCUCCACUAUUACCUUGUUUUAAUUAAGUUUGGAUUUUGACAAUGUAAUGAGUAUUAUGGAUUAUUAUUUUUGUUUUAAUUACUGAUGAGGAGUUUUAAACUAUCUUUUGGUUUCAUCAGUUUUGAAUAAUAUAAGAUUUCUGAAGAUUAUGAAA